RNAcentral lists this ribosomal RNA (186 nucleotides) under uncultured bacterium. RNAcentral describes it as "partial 16S ribosomal RNA". It matches the Rfam family "Bacterial small subunit ribosomal RNA", at positions 338 to 521 of the family's 1533-position model. The record is from RNAcentral.
CCUACGGGUGGCUGCAGUGAGGAAUAUUGGUCAAUGGACGCAAGUCUGAACCAGCCAUGCCGCGUGCAGGAAGACGGCUCUAUGAGUUGUAAACUGCUUUUGUACUAGGGUAAACGCUUCUACGUGUAGGAGCCUGAAAGUAUAGUACGAAUAAGGAUCGGCUAACUCCGUGCCAGCAGCCGCGGU